This 2486-nucleotide long non-coding RNA is filed under the name Lupinus angustifolius (narrow-leaved blue lupine). Its description in RNAcentral is "long non-coding RNA (LANG_LNC000451)". Lineage: Eukaryota; Viridiplantae; Streptophyta; Magnoliopsida; Fabales; Fabaceae. The record is from RNAcentral.
UUGUUACUAAUAAUCAAUUGGAACCCCAAACCAUUGUAAUUUCAUGCAAACUACUUUUAAGCCAAGUAGGCUAGUUCAAGAAAACAUACAUAUGAGACAUCCUUGGUCAACACGCUGUAAUUAAAUAAGGAAUCAUAUAUUUCAUUCCCUGGAAAGUGUCCAUUUCCUGCUUAAUCUGACUAAGUAAGGGUGCAGUAACAAUAUGGCACACUACAAUGUUAUUAAUUGUACAAAGCAAAUCUCAUGAACCAUAAUAUAUUAACACCAAUUUCUAAAGCUCACUAUUGCUGAAGAAGCUUAUGUUACCAAGACAAAGAAAAUUGCAGAGGAGAAUGACGAGUCAUAGCAAUGGCAAACAGCCAACUCUGAUGUCCUGAACUCUGUCAUCAAUAAAAUUCAGCAGAUUAAGGUUCAGCUUGAAUUUAUGGCAAACUUUGAGAAAGCACCAGCUUAACUAGCAGAAUCAUUGGACUUGGAACUCUUGAACUUGAAGCAAAACCUGGCAGAACAUCUUUUGGAGAACAUGAAAAAAACCAACUCAUAGAUAGUUUAUGAAUCAUCUCAAUCCAACAAAUCAGUCAAUGAGACUUUGAGGCAACUUGAGGUUUCAAAAAGAACUUUAGAGAUCCUAAGGGAUGAUGCUGCAAAAUCUGUACAUAGCUCAAACAUCCAUAGGUGGACACAGUGCUGGAAUGAAACGUAAUUCAAAGAGAAAAUAGUCACUCAUGAAUUUCAGAGCAGAAUCUCAAGAGAUGGCAAUAAGAAGGUGUAAGUCAGAAGUUUCAGUUACACAAUCAACCUAAAUGACGCUAUUGAUGAGCAAUUUUAAUUGGAAUAAUCAGUAAAUCAAAUCAAUCAUCAGAGAAUAUCUUCGGUCCUAGCAGUUGUAGUAAGAAGUACAAACCAGAAGUCAUGGCCAUUGGCAUCUCCUAUUUCAGUUAUAGAUGCAAUAAUAAGCAUGAAUGAGCAAUCAUUAGGCAGUUUCAAAACACAAGGGUCAGGAUUAUUCCUGACUUUCAAUUAGCAACCCAAAGAGCACCACUACUCAGCUAUAAAAGGAGAGGCAUUACAACCACAAAAAGGGGGUUCACCACACGAAAAUUAAAGAAAACAGAGCAUAUAUGCAGUGCUGUAAGGAUAAACAACACAGUGAAAGAGGCCAAAUCCCCUCUCAAAAUUCUAACACUACAGCACCUUCUUAGUCAGAAUUUCUCAAUCAACCCACAUACAUGCACCUACUAAUCACGGAUACACCACGAUACAGAAAUCAGAGAGAGAGGAUUUCAGAGAAAAGGGCAGAAAUAUAGAUAAAGAGAGUAACAUUCGAAUAGAUUCAAUAUCAUACCAGUUCCAAGGAGCAAUCACUAUACACAUAUCUAAACAAAAGCAAUCUGAAUAUAGAGCUAUACAUCACAGGCGCCAUAAACCAAGAAGGCAGAGCAACACAAACUGAAAACAGUAAGCAAAAAGAAAUCACAGAGAGGUAUCAACAACCGGAAGACCAAGUUGGCGAUAGAGAACGGUGUGGAUAAUCUUGAAACACAGAAACAGAACGAGAAAUCAGGAACAGGAGAUUGGCUUUUACACAACAAAGGCUAAAGGUAUACCUCCAGGUAAUCCAUUUAUUCCUCUCAUUCAAGCAAUUAUAAACAGAAAAUGUUCUUCUUCAUCAUGUGUUCGGAGCAUCAAACUAGAUACAUAUGUUCAUCUAAACAGUUGUAAACAAGUAGCCCUCAAUCUAAUUUAAGUCAUAUAUAUCAAAUGAAAUGCAUACGGUGACUGAAACAUCUUGAAAGACAUUUCUAUGUUCUUUACAAGCCUACAACCAUGAAAUAAACUCAGAACUUUGCUAAAAAAUGGCUAGAAUGUCAGAUUCAAACAUAAGACAUAUUCACUCGGCUUCAACAGGGAUAAAUAUCCAUAAACAAGAAAUAGAUAGUAUAACACGAUAGCAUAAUUUCGGAUAAAUGCUCGGAUAAAUGCUUGCCGAGGUUAGUCACACUUAAUCAUCCAAUUUCAAGCCAAAAGGAUAAAAUAGAAAAGGAGCAGGGUUAGUUACUGGACCCAUUGCGUUGAUGCCGAUUCCGAAUCCCUAUCUCGUCUCGGUGACCACCGCGAGAACAAGGGAAUCAUAAAAGAAAAAUAAAAGAAGGAUAUGGUACCUUACGGGUUCUCCUCGCCUCCAUCCACCAUGAUAAACGGUGGUUCCCACCGUGGCUGCCGCCUUCAUCAAUCGAAGCCCUCACCGAAGAGGAAGGGAUGGAGGAGGUGAUUGUCCAUUCUUCAAGCCGCCAUCAUGAUCCUCACCUCCGCUGGAGAAUCACUCACCAUUGCCGCCUCUCACCGCCGUUAAUCACCUCUCUCCACUACCAUCGUGAAAGAAGCCAAGGGGGGAGAGGAUGAAAGAGGUAUAGUGUGUUAGGGAAAAUCCCUUUUGGGACUUUAGGUUCUAAACAACCCGUAUGCCCCCACCCCACUUAUUUUUG